GACGGAGGAUGCAAGCGUUAUCCGGAAUGAUUGGGCGUAAAGCGUCCGCAGGUGGCAGUUCAAGUCUGCUGUCAAAGACCGGGGCUUAACUUCGGAAAGGCAGUGGAAACUGAACAGCUAGAGUAUGGUAGGGGCAGAGGGAAUUCCUGGUGUAGCGGUGAAAUGCGUAGAGAUCGAGAGGAACACCUGCGGCGAAGGCGGGUUGCUGGGCCGACACUGACGCUGAUGCGCGAAAGCCAGGGGAGCGAACGGG
This 253-nucleotide ribosomal RNA is filed under the name uncultured bacterium. Its description in RNAcentral is "partial 16S ribosomal RNA". It matches the Rfam family "Bacterial small subunit ribosomal RNA", at positions 524 to 776 of the family's 1533-position model. The record is from RNAcentral.